CUGGUGCUGAGAUCAGUCGCAAAUUAGGAGAAAAUUAUAAAGACAGGUGAAGAGGAGAAUAACCAAGUUGUGUAGAAGGCAGAGGUUGCAGAAAAUGGCCCACAACCUGUCUAAAAUGGUUUGAGUUUCUCAAGGGAUGGUUACUAUAUUCUGAAUAGCAUUCAGUGCAUCAUCAAUGCAAUAUAUGGAAGAGUGAGAUCACAGAAAUUAGAGCUGGAAGAGACCUCAGAAGUCAUCUACUUGUGGGCUUCAAUGUUGAGUUGGCCAUAAAAUUCAGAUGACUCUGGGACACCUAGAAGUUCAUCUGACCUCAAGGGCCAUGGGGAAGGCCCCAAUCUUCUCCUCUUACAGCAUUGCCUUUCACUGGAUGACAUUGGUGAAGGAAUCAAACCAAAGAGAAAGAAGAGAAUGAGUCAAAGGAUGACUAAGGCC
This is a long non-coding RNA of Trichosurus vulpecula (common brushtail), 432 nucleotides long. RefSeq lists it as uncharacterized. The record is from RefSeq and is a predicted model, not a curated record. The transcript has 3 exons. NCBI's taxonomy places the organism in Eukaryota, Metazoa, Chordata, Mammalia, Diprotodontia, Phalangeridae.